RNAcentral lists this long non-coding RNA (301 nucleotides) under Neogale vison (American mink). RNAcentral describes it as "Neovison vison (American mink) lncRNA (ENSNVIG00000011135.1)". Lineage: Eukaryota; Metazoa; Chordata; Mammalia; Carnivora; Mustelidae. The record is from RNAcentral.
UGCCUCCUGAGUAAUCCUUGGGAGCGCGAAAAAGUUUUGAAACUUUCGGCGACGUCAAUAGUAAACUAAAUCUGGCCCUCCAGAAAGGAUACACGGGACACCUGCGCACAAACGUUGGAUUUUGUCCUGCAUCGUCCGAAAGGAAGCAGGCUAUGAGCCAAGGGGAAGGCAGAGGACAAAAAUGAAUGUGCUCCCAAGCUUUCCCGGUGGUGUAUGGCAUUCUCCAAACUCCUAUGCGAGGGCUGUUCCUGACCGAGAAGACCCAAGGAGACCGUCUCUGAAAUCAAGUCCAGAUGAAGAA